This 466-nucleotide ribosomal RNA is filed under the name uncultured bacterium. RNAcentral's name for it is "partial 16S ribosomal RNA". It matches the Rfam family "Bacterial small subunit ribosomal RNA", at positions 28 to 507 of the family's 1533-position model. The record is from RNAcentral.
GAUGAACGCUGGCGGCGUGCUUAACACAUGCAAGUCGAACGAUGAAGCCCAGCUUGCUGGGUGGAUUAGUGGCGAACGGGUGAGUAACACGUGAGUAACCUGCCCUUAACUCUGGGAUAAGCCUGGGAAACUGGGUCUAAUACCGGAUAGGAGCGUCCACCGCAUGGUGGGUGUUGGAAAGAUUUAUCGGUUUUGGAUGGACUCGCGGCCUAUCAGCUUGUUGGUGAGGUAAUGGCUCACCAAGGCGACGACGGGUAGCCGGCCUGGGAGGGUGACCGGCCACACUGGGACUGAGGAACCGCCCAGACUCCAACGGGAGGCAGCAGUGGAGAAUAUUGCACGAUGGGCGGAAGCCUGAAGCAGCGACGCCGCGUGAGGGAUGACGGCCUUCGGGUUGUAAACCUCUUUCAGUAGGGAAGAAGCGAAAGUGACGGUACCUGCAGAAGAAGCACCGGCUAACUACGUG